Molecule: ribosomal RNA, 1362 nt
Filed under: Mantura chrysanthemi
Lineage: Eukaryota; Metazoa; Arthropoda; Insecta; Coleoptera; Chrysomelidae
Description: 16S ribosomal RNA
Rfam family: Archaeal large subunit ribosomal RNA (bases 1064-1222)
Source: RNAcentral
GUUAAUUGUUUAAUCAAUUUAAUUUGAAAUAAAUUUAUUAUUAAAAUUUUAUAUUAUUAAUUUUUUAAAAGAAAUAUAUUUGUAGUUUUAUUAAUUUAUUAAAAAUAAUUAUUUUUAUGAUAGUUUAUAGUAUUGUGAAAGAAUUAUUUAAUUGAUAAAAAGAAGAUUUUAUUUUUUGUACCUUGUGUAUCAGGGUUUAUUAAAAUUAAUUAAAAAUUUAAUAUUCUCGAAUUUAAAAGAGCUAAAAAGUUAUUAAUAUUAAUGUAAAAUAAUUAUAAAUAAUAAUUUUUUAGUAAUGAAAUGUUAUUCGUUUUUAAAUAUAUCUAGUUUUUUAAGAAAAAAAUUUAAUUUUUACAUUUUGAAUAUUUUUUUAAUUAUUUAAUUUAAUAUUAUUAAUGUUUUAUAUUUUUAGGGAUUAGCUUAAAAAUAAAUUUUUAUUAGAAAUAAAAAUUAAAAAAUAUUUUAGGAUUAAAAAUUUUCAUAAUUUAAGUAUGUUAUAAUUUAUUUUUUUGAUAAUAUAAUUUUUAUUUUUUAUAAGUUUUUUAUUAAAAUAUAAUUUUUAAUUUUAAAAAAUUAGAAAUAAUGAUAAAAUUAGUAUAAAAUUAUUUAAUAAAUAAUUAUAAUAUUUAGGUUAUUUUAAGGAAUUCGGCAAAUUAUUUUUCACCUGUUUAUUAAAAACAUGUCUUUUUGUUUUAAAUUUAAAGUCUGGCCUGCCCACUGAAAUUUUGAAUGGCCGCGGUAUUUUGACCGUGCUAAGGUAGCAUAAUCAUUAGUUUUUUAAUUAAAAGCUGGAAUGAAGGGUUGGAUGAAAAAAUGACUGUCUCUGAAUUAUUUUAUUAGAAAUUUAUUUUUAAGUUAAAAAGCUUAAAUAAUUUUAAAAGACGAGAAGACCCUAUAGAGUUUUAUAAAAUUAAUUUUUAAAAAAUUUAGGAUUAAAAUUUUUGAAAAUUGAUUUUAUUUAAUUGGGGUGAUUAAAAAAUUUAAAAAACUUUUUUUUUAUUUAAAUAUAAAUUAAUAAAUUUAUGAUCCAAUAUUUUUGAUUAUAAGAAUAAGUUACCUUAGGGAUAACAGCGUAAUUUUAUUAGAGAGUUCAAAUCGAAAAUAAAGAUUGCGACCUCGAUGUUGGAUUAAAAUUUAUUCUUGGUGUAGAAGUUAAGAAUUUAAGUCUGUUCGACUUUUAAAAUUUUACAUGAUCUGAGUUUAAACCGGUGUAAGCCAGGUUGGUUUCUAUCUUUAAAAUGUUAACAUAUUUUAGUACGAAAGGACCAAAUAUUUAUAUAAAAUAUUUUUAUAGAAUAAAAUUGUUAUUUUGGCAGAUUAGUGCAAUAGAUUUAGAAUCUUUAUAUGUAAUUAUAUUACAGA